UCCCUGGUUGCUUAGGGGUAAAGAACCUGUCUGUAAUGCAGGAGACCUGGGUUUGAUCCCUGGCUGGGGAA
Molecule: transfer RNA, 71 nt
Filed under: Capra hircus (goat)
Lineage: Eukaryota; Metazoa; Chordata; Mammalia; Artiodactyla; Bovidae
Also listed under: 1 other name
Rfam family: tRNA
About the family: Transfer RNA (tRNA) molecules are approximately 80 nucleotides in length. Their secondary structure includes four short double-helical elements and three loops (D, anti-codon, and T loops).
Source: Rfam by way of RNAcentral